Non-coding RNA from Pimephales promelas (fathead minnow), 1026 nucleotides. The record is from RefSeq and is a predicted model, not a curated record. NCBI's taxonomy places the organism in Eukaryota, Metazoa, Chordata, Actinopteri, Cypriniformes, Leuciscidae.
AAAAAACGUUGUACAGAGACUUCAAAGUGGAUGCCUUUAUGGGCGGCAGUCCAUCUGGAGCAGAUGGCCUCUCCCUUCACUGAGAUGGAGUUUUACACUAUUCUCUUCUCUCUGGUAGUGUUCAGUCUCUUUACCCUGCAUGGCCUAAUACAAGAGAGAUGUGUGCACACUACAGGCAGUGAAGACAUCAAAGAAAGACUUGAGGAGCCACUCAUCGUUUAAAUCCACCUGCAGACCAAUCUAGACUGAUUUCAUGCAACAUGGUCAAUCCAGGAUCAGAUGUGAUGAGUGGUGCUGUACACAUAACUUGCCCAGUAUGCUGCUUUCUUUAUUGCGCUUGAAACCUCAUCACCUGGACGGGAUCCGGCUCCUAACUCAGGGUGGAAGUGUGUGUGUAUGUGUGUGUGUGUGUUAUGGAUCUUCUAUUUUCAGGGUUUGAGUUGGUCUUCAUCAUCAUUGCUUUUACUGUCAUGUGCUUAUUUGGCCUGGCUGCAGUCUACACACAUAAUACAGACGAUCAAGAUGACCACACUCCGACAGAACAGAGGAUAACACAACAAAAGAACAAAUCAAAGAAAAAACGAAAUGUAACCAAAGUCAAUCAAGAGAUACCAUGAACACACUUCAUAGACCUACAGAAUCUCUCUGUUGGUACUCAUUGGAUAAACGGCCUGGCUCACCAAAUGCAGUUAAUUAGCAGACAAACUGUGUCUGAAGAUCUCUGUGACUGAAAAUAGACUUCAAUUCACCCUCAAGAUGCGAUUUCUCUCAGCUGUUUCUGAUUGGCUUGAAUGUAUGACCCCAGUAAGUAAUUAACCAGUAAAGAGGAUUUAUUGAAAUCGAAACCCCACCCCUUUCCCAACCUAAAACUGCUUAACAUUUGUAAUUCUUUUCUGGUGGAGCCUUUUUUGUUUCUUUCACUUUAUGCAUUUUGGGCAAAUUGCAUCUAAAAUCUCUGGGUGGACUUAGCUUAUGACUGUUAAAAUAUAGGAAAAUAUAUCGCUGGAUGUAUUUUGUGAAAAAAAA